AUUUUUUUCCUGGCUUUCUUGCUCUUUUUUGGAAACUUAAUUGCUGGCUUUUUAACUUCCAGGUUAGAGCAGCAGGGCGCAGGAGUGCAGUUCAUCAAAACCUCUGUAUUGUUGCUGAUGCGUAAACUGCCUGGCAUGGGAUACCAUGGAGUAACAAAGGCAAAUGCUUCAAAAACUGCCUCCCCUGCCUCCAUCAAUAUUUGCUGAGUAGACCUGCAUUCAGAAGGGUGUUUGUGAGAAGCAAACAUGAUAGAAGAAUGAACACUGAGAGAUACAGAAGAUGUGAUGGACAGUUUUGACAAUAACCCCCACAUCAAAUGCGCCAGAAGACUGAAGCAGAGGCAACAUUCCUGUCCAAGGACCCUUCAGCUACAAAGGAAACCCUCCAGCUCUCUUCCUUGGAAGACUUUCUGCUUCUUCAUCACUGAAUAGAGGGAACGGGUAUUAUAUGAAGAUAAAGUUAUUGCUUGUGCCUGCCUGGAGCACAAGAUCGAAGCCUUGAAACUUCCCAACAUGUCCUAUGGGAGUCUGGAGGUUGGACCUUUCCUAGAUCAGUGUAAAUACUUUAAGUACUAUCUGACUGUGCUCUAACAGGAGUUGGAAUAGAUUGGAAGCUGCACUGGUCUUAAAAGCCAGUGCUCAUAAAUACUUGGAGAGCUCAGGCUGUGGGUUCAUCCCUAGAAUGUGAGACAAGAAUUAAGCUUAUUUAGCAAUUUUGAAUUCUAUCACAGUCCUAAUUUUAGGAAAAGACACACUGUGCUGUAUCUGUUUCAUUACAUGUGUUGAAUUUGAAUUUGUAAGCCUUUAUCUUCUGUUUGUCUUGAAUUACAGAAGUAUAUAGUGCAAUGACUUCAAGAGACAGACCCACUAAAUGUAUAGUUUGUUGGAAUUAUAUCUACUUUUUUUCUUUAUUUAGGAAAUUUAGAUUAAUUUAAAUGAUUGUUUCUUCUGUAAUCUCACAGAUAGGAGAAUGACAAGAGCUCUUAUUCAGGCCAUUCAUACUAGAACAAUUCUGUAACUCUCAUGUUUUGUUUUGCUUUGUUUUGUUUUGUUUUCUUUAUCUUGGUAAAGCAGAUGCCACAAAGAAAUACUAGGGAUCCAUUAUUUAUUUUCAUUUUUUAUUUUUUAAAAGUAAAAUAGUGCAACACUUACAAAUGGAAGUUUUACAUGAAUGAUGGUUCAGUCAAGCAGUAAUACGUCACUGAGAUGUAACUAUGCAGAGUUCUUUUGGACACUCUGUUCAGUUUCUGAUCUGAGCAGCUUUUGGGUAUGCAUUCAUGACAGUUCAGCAUAUUGUUUAAUGUGAUUUUUAUAUACAUUUGCAAUUUUAGAAAAUAUUACUAUACUUCUGUUCUUGCUUUUCUCCAUUGCUGCGAAAAGAAUCAUGGUUAAAUUGUGUUCUCCUGGCUCCUCUUGGCCUUGUGGAAGACAG
Molecule: long non-coding RNA, 1432 nt
Filed under: Coturnix japonica (Japanese quail)
Lineage: Eukaryota; Metazoa; Chordata; Aves; Galliformes; Phasianidae
Description: lncRNA (ENSCJPG00005011586.1)
Source: RNAcentral